This 207-nucleotide unclassified non-coding RNA is filed under the name Mortierella paraensis. Its description in RNAcentral is "partial internal transcribed spacer region". The stretch from base 1 to 46 matches the Rfam family "Eukaryotic small subunit ribosomal RNA", at positions 1786 to 1831 of the family's 1831-position model. Lineage: Eukaryota; Fungi; Mortierellomycota; Mortierellomycetes; Mortierellales; Mortierellaceae. The record is from RNAcentral.
AAGUCGUAACAAGGUUUCCAUAGGUGAACCUGCGGAAGGAUCACUCAUAAUAAAAGUGUUUUAUGACACUUUUAAAACAAUCCAUAUCCACCUUGUGUGCAAUGUUUUUUAUAAAUUUUCAACUCUAUUUUAAUUUAUUUUGUCUGAAAUAUAUUAUGAAUACUUAAUUCAAAAAUAUAACUUUCAACAACGGAUCUCUUGGCUCUC